AUUGAACGCUGGCGGCAGGCCUAACACAUGCAAGUCGAGCGAGAGGCGGACGGGUGAGUAAUGUAUGGGGAUCUGACCGAUGGAGGGGGAUAACUACUGGACACGGUGGCUACUGACGCAUACUCUCGGAUGGACCGAUAUGGGAUUAGCUAGUGGGUGGGGUAAAGGCUCCCCGAGGCUCCGAUCUCUAGCUGGUCUGAGAGGAUGAUCAGCCACACUGGAACUGAGACACGGCCCAGACUCCUACGGGAGGCAGCAGUGGGGAAUAUUGCACAAUGGGCGAAAGCCUGAUACAGCCAUGCCGCGUGUAUGAAGAAGGCCUUCGGGUUGUAAAGUACUUUCAGUCGGGAGGCGUUACCGACAGAAGAAGCACCGGCUAACUCCGUGCCAGCAGCCGCGGUAAUAC
This 406-nucleotide ribosomal RNA is filed under the name uncultured bacterium. Its description in RNAcentral is "partial 16S ribosomal RNA". It matches the Rfam family "Bacterial small subunit ribosomal RNA", at positions 30 to 526 of the family's 1533-position model. The record is from RNAcentral.